GAUUACACUGGGUAAUGUUGUUGUUGCAGACUCGUAGAGGGGUUGAUAUGUAUGCAUGUGAGAGAACUGAGAAGUAUGGCAAACUCAUAGAUAUUUGCACUGAAACAAGGAACCUCUAAUUUAUGUUAUCUUGACAUCGCGAAGAAGUCUAGCAGCCAUUGCACCACGUCUUCUAGCUUCCCAAUCAGUAAGCUUUCUGUUCUCAAGAUCCAUAACCAGGUUAUUGUCUACCUUGUCCUCAUUGUCAGUCACAUCACCUUGAUAUUUACUUUCAUCUUCGUCUGAUCCAUUCUUAGUCUCUUCUGUCUGCUGCUGCUGUCUAACAAUUUCCGAGGUACUUCCUUGUGACUUGAAGCUCAUUAUGUAUAACUGGAUGCUUGGAUGUUGGUAAGUACUAUCCAUCUUUGCUUUUGGAACUGUUUUGACCUCAAAAUGUCUCUUCCAUGUCUCAAGCAUCUUUUCAUGGACAUUGGUUGAUCGAAUUUCAUGACCCAACAGAAUUGUUGUCUUUGGUCCAGAUAGUGCAAUUAUUGUCUGCAAAAGCGGUUCCAAAAGAUGUUCUGCAUAAACAACAUCAGUCCCAAUGAUAUAGUCGAAUGGAGGGCUAACAGCCUUUAUAUGAGUUUCAUUACCCCAGUCCAACUCUGCUGCCUGUAUGGAACCAAAUGAAUCUGGAUCUGAGAUUGUCUGCAUGAUCCUGGAAGUAUUACGCUCAACGUUUCUCAUUAGCAAUGGCAAAACCUCAGUUUGGUCAGUUGAAACUACAUCACAUCCAAGUAAUGCCAUGCCAAAUCCUGCUACGCCACAACCUGCCCCAAGUUCAAUCACACGCUUUCCUCUCAAUUUAG
RNAcentral lists this unclassified non-coding RNA (848 nucleotides) under Hevea brasiliensis (rubber tree). Lineage: Eukaryota; Viridiplantae; Streptophyta; Magnoliopsida; Malpighiales; Euphorbiaceae. The record is from RNAcentral.